This 381-nucleotide ribosomal RNA is filed under the name uncultured bacterium. Its description in RNAcentral is "bacterial SSU rRNA". It matches the Rfam family "Bacterial small subunit ribosomal RNA", at positions 524 to 906 of the family's 1533-position model. The record is from RNAcentral.
UACGGAGGAUGCGAGCGUUAUCCGGAAUCAUUGGGUUUAAAGGGUCCGUAGGCGGGCUAAUAAGUCAGAGGUGAAAGCGCUCAGCUCAACUGAGCAACUGCCUUUGAAACUGUUAGUCUUGAAUGGUUGUGAAGUAGUUGGAAUGUGUAGUGUAGCGGUGAAAUGCUUAGAUAUUACACAGAACACCGAUAGCGAAGGCAUAUUACUAACAAUUAAUUGACGCUGAUGGACGAAAGCGUGGGGGAGCGAACAGGAUUAGAUACCCUGGUAGUCCACGCUGUAAACGAUGGAUACUAGCUGUUUGGUUGUAAGACUGAGUGGCUAAGCGAAAGUGAUAAGUAUCCCACCUGGGGAGUACGCACGCAAGUGUGAAACUCAAAG